GUACAUAGAAUAUAAAAAUUUAAUUAAGACGAACAAAAACAGAAUUUAACAAAUUAUAACUGUAUAUAAAAAAUAUAGAUUGAAAAAUCAAUUCUAUUUCAUGGCUAUUGAAUUAGUUAACUCAUUGAUCUGAUCAACCGGAUACACCCUACAAUCUUGCACUAUAGCAGCGAAAUAGAUGCAACUCAAGUCUAAUCUCAUCCAGAGUUGACUACAUAAAAGUUCCAAUGAGCAAAGUUCUGGGAAAAAUAAAAGAAGUUGAUCCCACUAAAUACCCAAAAUGCUAACCAUAUACAUGCAACUAGGGCUGAGCAUUCGGUCGGUUCGGUUCAAAACCGAACCGAACCGAAAUAACCGAAAACCGAAUUAGACUUUUUUUUGAAACCGAACCGAACCGAAUUAGGAUUUUGAACCGAACCGAACCAACCGAAAUAUUUCGGUUCGGUUUCGGUUUCGGUUUGGAAAAACCGAAAUUUUUCAACAUCCUGUACAGUUUGCAGAUUACAGUUUGUAAUUAAAUGAUUUCAAUCAACCAAACUUCACUUGAUUCAUACAUCACUAAAUAUGACAAAUUAAAGUCGGAAAAUUUAAAGUUUACAUCAGAACAAAUAGAAUCUACCAAUUUGCAUUACAAAAUUAAGAAAAGUAUUAGCCGAAAUUGUAAGCUAAUUAAUUGAAGCUCGUCUUACAUAGUUAGAUUAGAGAUGCAGAAUACAAACCUGGAGUUUGAGUUGCUGCUUGCUGGAGAUGAUGAUUAAAAGAUGAGUUGCUGCUGGAGAUGAAGAUUCGUGUUACUGUGAUUGAGAUUCGUGUUACGAAUUACGAUAGAGACUAGAGUUUGGGUGGGGAGUGGAGACUAGAGCUUGUAUCGGAAACUCGGAGUCGGAGUUUGGAUGAGAGGAGAGUCGCCGCACGCAGUGGAAUUAGGACAUUAGAUUCUAUUUCUAGGGUUAUCUUAUCUGUAUUGUAUAUGAUAUAUCAGUAUGUAUGUAAUAUAUUAUAUAUUUAUUUUUUAUUUAAUAAAAACUUCGGUUAUUUCGGUUUGAACCGAAAUACUAUAUCAAAAACCGAACCGAACCGAAAUUCUUUUCGGUUCAAACCGAAAAACCGAAUUAACCGAAAUUUCCAGAAAAAUAAAACCGAACCGAACCGAAAUUAUACGGUUCGGUUCGGUUUUUCGGUUUCGGUUCGGUUUUGCUCACCCCUACAUGCAACUACAACAGAAGCUUCAAUGAAGAAUAAUUACAAGGCAACAAAAAAAUCUGUUUUACUUGUUCCUGUCCUAGAUAAAUGAGAAUUUUCCUGUCAUCAGCAUUUGUCGUGCCUUCAAUUUCAUUCUUUGUUCCGAGCUGCAC
Molecule: long non-coding RNA, 1355 nt
Filed under: Daucus carota (carrot)
Lineage: Eukaryota; Viridiplantae; Streptophyta; Magnoliopsida; Apiales; Apiaceae
Description: long non-coding RNA (DCAR_LNC000408)
Source: RNAcentral